AUGAGGCCUCACCUGUUUGAACUCGGAUAAGCGUGUGACCCAUUCUACAUCCAAAUUAAAGACUUACAAACCGUGAGUCUCGGUCCAAAUUCUCUGCAGAUUCUACUUACACACGAAGGUUCUGCUUUGGUUAGCCAAUGAGGAAGUUGCCAUGUGACUCCAUGUGUCUGAAGGACCACUUUCUCCUAUCUGCUCAGGACUUGGUAGAGCAUCCUCAACAGAGAACUUGGAAAGUACCCCAUGGUAGAAGGUGCUAGAAGCCUGAGGCCAGGUCAGGAGGUGACACCAGCUCCUCCCUGGGCUCCUGAUCCCUGCAGAGUGAUGGGGGCUGUAUACCUGGCCUCGACUCCCCAAGAGCAGGCACUGAGCUCACCUCUACUCUGUAAAACAAGGGGCCACCAAACCUACCCUGGUCAAUUCAAAGAGCCUGGUUAAUUCUGGGGCAUUCUGAAGCCAUGGGACCUGGCUGGGACCACCUUCCUACCUUCCAUCCCUCAGCAAUGAUAGCAUCCAGCUGGACCGCCUCUUCUCUGGGAUCAGAGAACCACUUCUAGAUUCCUCUGGCCACUUCAACCAUGUCCUGGACCAGGCUGUGGUGGCUUCUGGUACAUCGAGUGCAUGGCCUCUGUCCUGGCCUCAACAGAAGCUUCUCAGAGCACACAGCCAGGCUCAAAGGCCAGCCUGCUGUUUUAGAGCCAGCCCGAAACAUAUGAGGAGAAGGGAUUGGGCCCAACUGAGCAGCAGAGAGGGAAGUGGAUCUUGGCUGGACCUUCAGGUGGGAUGUGUGGGAGGGUAAUCUACAGUUGGACUGGACUAUGCAGGUAGGCACAAGACCAUCUGCUGAGUGCCAAGGCAAACAUCACCCCACAUGCUAGGGUGGCCUUCACCUUAGAGGGAGGAGACAGAGUAGCAGCCUGUGUUCCGGCAAGGUGGCAAACUUUCAGGUCCUGUUGCUCAUCUACAAGAUGGACUUAAUAAAGCCAGGCUUGUUCUAUGCAA
Mastomys coucha (southern multimammate mouse) is the source of this 999-nucleotide long non-coding RNA. RefSeq lists it as uncharacterized. The record is from RefSeq and is a predicted model, not a curated record. The transcript is spliced from 4 exons. NCBI's taxonomy places the organism in Eukaryota, Metazoa, Chordata, Mammalia, Rodentia, Muridae.